Long non-coding RNA from Cercocebus atys (sooty mangabey), 514 nucleotides. RefSeq lists it as uncharacterized. Lineage: Eukaryota; Metazoa; Chordata; Mammalia; Primates; Cercopithecidae. The transcript is spliced from 3 exons. The record is from RefSeq and is a predicted model, not a curated record.
AUGUGGAACUGCAAGAGCAGAGAGGAGGAGAAGUCUCACCAUGAAGACAAAAGAAGUCCUGAGCCUUGGAUUUUCUUUCUCUAGGUCUGUUUUGUGGACCCACAGACUCGUAGAAGUUCUCUGAGGGCUGCCUGCUCCCCAUCUGCCCCAGAUGGAUCCCUUAAGGUGAGAUUGGGAACCAGCUGUGGAAAGACUUUAAUAAUGGGAUGGAUGGACUGCCAAGCUCUCCCUCUGUCAGGAUUGAUUCUGCAGCGAGACUGUGAGCUUAACGAGAGCAAAACUCAGGCCUUAUACUCCUUCAUGUGCCCUGCAGACUCCAGAAGUGCUAGGAGCCUUCUGCUCUUCUGCAGGGACUAGCUCGUCUCACAUACAUCUGAGGCUGGUUGCCACCACCUGGCCUUGAGAAGCAAGCAGCAGCACCUCCCUCCAGGGCCCACGGACAGGAACAUGUGGUCCUGACCCCAGCUGGAUGCCCCUCGCGACUCCACCCCACAGUCUCAGAAGUUUUCUCAUU